Molecule: ribosomal RNA, 1549 nt
Filed under: metagenome
Description: bacterial SSU rRNA
Rfam family: Bacterial small subunit ribosomal RNA
Source: RNAcentral
AGAGUUUGAUCCUGGCUCAGAGUGAACGCUGGCGGCGUGGAUUAGGCAUGCAAGUCGAGCGAUCCUUGCUUGAUACUUAUUGGAGUGCUUGCACAAAGAUAAGACGAUAGUGCUGGAUAGCGGCAAACGGGUGAGUAUCGCGUGAGUAACUUGCCCCGAAGACAGGAAUAGCUUCGUGAAAACGGAGGUAAUACCUGAUGUUACCAUGAAUCGGCAUCGAUUUAUGGUCAAAGGUGGGGACCGUAAGGCCUGCCGCUUUGGGAUGGACUCGCGUCCUAUCAGCUUGUUGGUAGGGUAAUGGCCUACCAAGGCAUUUGACGGGUAGCCGGCCUGAGAGGGUGACCGGCCACAUUGGGACUGAGACACUGCCCAGACUCCUACGGGAGGCUGCAGUCGAGAAUAUUUAGCAAUGGGCGAAAGCCUGACUAUGCGACGCCGCGUGAAGGAUGAAGGCUUUAGAGUUGUAAACUUCUUUUCUAAGGAGAGAACGUUCCGCUAUUAAUAGUGGCGGAAUCUGACGGUACCUUAGGAGUAAGCCACGGCCAACUCCGUGCCAGCAGCCGCGGUAAUACGGAGGUGGCGAGCGUUACUCGGAAUCACUGGGUGUAAAGGGCAAGUAGGCGGCUUAGUGAGUAAGAGGUGAAAUCCUCCGGCUCAAUCGGAGAACUGCCUUUUAAACUGCUAGACUUGAGGUUGGAAGAGGGAAAUGGAAUUCUCGGUGUAAGGGUGAAAUCUGUGGAUAUCGAGAAGAACACCAGCGGCGAAGGCGAUUUCCUGGUCCAAACCUGACGCUGAACUGCGAAAGCUAGGGGAGCAAACAGAAUUAGAUACUCUGGUAGUCCUAGCCGUAAACGAUGAGUACUAGGUGUUGGGGGCUUGUCCCUCAGUGCCGCAGCUAACGCAUUAAGUACUCCACCUGGGAACUACGGUCGCAAGGCUAAAACUCAAAGGAAUUGACGGGGACCCGCACAAGCGGUGGAACAUGUGGUUUAAUUCGAUGCUACGCGAAAAACCUCACCAAGGCUUGACAUGUAAGAAGUAGUGAACUGAAAGGGGAUCGACCCGUUAAGUCGGGAACUUACACAGGUGCUGCAUGGCUGUCGUCAGCUCGUGUCGUGAGAUGUUGGGUUAAGUCCCGCAACGAGCGCAACCAUUACCUCUUGUUGCCAUCCAUAGGAUUUGCUUGCAAAUCUUGUGGAGCACUCUAGAGGGACUGCCUGGGGUAACCAGGAGGAAGGUGGAGAUGACGUCAAGUCAGUACGGCCCUUACGCCUUGGGCUACACACGUGUUACAAUGGCUGAUACAAAGGGUUGCCAACCCGUGAGGGGGAGCUAAUCUCUAAAAAUCAGCCUCAGUUCGGAUUGGAGUCUGCAAUUCGACUCCAUGAAGCUGGAAUCGCUAGUAAUGGGAGAGCAGCUCGCUCCCGUGAAUACGUUCCCGGGUCUUGUACACACCGCCCGUCAAGCGAUGGGAGCCGGGGGUACCCGAAGUCCUGUGUAGGCAGGCCGAAGGUAAAACUGGUGACUGGCGCUAAGUCGUAACAAGGUA